Molecule: ribosomal RNA, 490 nt
Filed under: uncultured bacterium
Lineage: Bacteria
Description: partial 16S ribosomal RNA
Rfam family: Bacterial small subunit ribosomal RNA
Source: RNAcentral
AUUGAACGCUGGCGGCAGGCCUAACACAUGCAAGUCGAACGGUAACAGGAAGCAGCUUGCUGCUUCGCUGGCGAGUGGCGGACGGGUGAGUAAUGUCUGGGAAGCUGCCUGAUGGAGUGGGAUAACUACUGGAAACGGUAGCUAAUACCGCAUAAUGUCGCAAGACCAAAGAGGGGGACCUUCGGGCCUCUUGCCAUCGGAUGUGCCCAGAUGGGAUUAGCUUGUUGGUGGGGUAACGGCUCACCAAGGCGACGAUCCCUAGCUGGUCUGAGAGGAUGACCAGCCACACUGGAACUGAGACACGGUCCAGACUCCUACGGGAGGCAGCAGUGGGGAAUAUUGCACAAUGGGCGCAAGCCUGAUGCAGCCAUGCCGCGUGUAUGAAGAAGGCCUUCGGGUUGUAAAGUACUUUCAGCGGGGAGGAAGGGAGUAAAGUUAAUACCUUUGCUCAUUGACGUUACCCGCAGAAGAAGCACCGGCUAACUCCGUG